CCUACGGGAGGCAGCAGUGGGGAAUAUUGCACAAUGGGGGGAACCCUGAUGCAGCGACGCCGCGUGAGUGAAGAAGUACUUCGGUAUGUAAAGCUCUGUCAGCAGGGAAGAAAAUGACGGUACCUGACCAAGAAGCCCCGGCUAACUACGUGCCAGCAGCCGCGGUAAUACGUAGGGGGCAAGCGUUAUCCGGAUUUACUGGGUGUAAAGGGAGCGUAGACGGCAGGGCAAGUCUGGAGUGAAAGGCGGGGGCUCAACCCGCGGACUGCUCUGGAAACUGCGAGGCUGGAGUGCAGGAGGGGUAAGUGGAAUUCGUAGUGUAGCGGUGAAAUGCGUAGAUAUUAGGAGGAACACCGGUGGCGAAGGCGGCUUACUGGACUGUAACUGACGUUGAGGCUCGAAGGCGUGGGGAGCAAACAGGAUUAGAUACCCUUGUAGUC
RNAcentral lists this ribosomal RNA (440 nucleotides) under uncultured bacterium. RNAcentral's name for it is "partial 16S ribosomal RNA". It matches the Rfam family "Bacterial small subunit ribosomal RNA", at positions 338 to 795 of the family's 1533-position model. The record is from RNAcentral.